Molecule: unclassified non-coding RNA, 331 nt
Filed under: Hevea brasiliensis (rubber tree)
Lineage: Eukaryota; Viridiplantae; Streptophyta; Magnoliopsida; Malpighiales; Euphorbiaceae
Source: RNAcentral
GAUAUGCAUUUUAUAUUGCUGUAUGACUGAGGAAAAAUCAUUCUAAGCUUUGUAAACUUUUCAAGUGUGAGGUGUUUAGCUGUUCCAGAUUGCCAUUUUAUUUUAUGGUGUUUUUGUUUUGAGGCUUUCUUUAUAUUGAUUUUGGAGGCAAUCUUUAGUUCAUUUGUUGCUAGUGCUUGCAAUGUAUGUAAAAAGCCUUGACGAUAUGCUAGUGCUUGGGGUUGGGCCUACCUCUACCAAUUAUAAAAGCGCUGGGUGAUGAAUUGUCAAAUAGACUAAACAUUGAAUUCCUUGUACCAGCUGAAACGUAUCCUGUACUAAGGAAUUCAAG